GGUGAAAUGGCUGAAUUAGGCAAUAAAUUGUAAAUUUAUUUAUGAAUUAAUAUUCUUUUACCAAUCAUUAGAA
RNAcentral lists this transfer RNA (73 nucleotides) under Tegyrius keralaensis. RNAcentral describes it as "tRNA-Tyr". The record is from RNAcentral. Lineage: Eukaryota; Metazoa; Arthropoda; Insecta; Coleoptera; Chrysomelidae.